This 443-nucleotide ribosomal RNA is filed under the name uncultured bacterium. RNAcentral's name for it is "partial 16S ribosomal RNA". It matches the Rfam family "Bacterial small subunit ribosomal RNA", at positions 338 to 795 of the family's 1533-position model. The record is from RNAcentral.
CCUACGGGAGGCAGCAGUGGGGAAUAUUGGGCAAUGGGCGCAAGCCUGAACCAGCAACGCCGCGUGAAGGAAGAAGGCUUUCGGGUUGUAAAAUUCUUUUCUCAGGGACGAAGCAAGUGACGGUACCUGAGGAAUAAGCCACGGCUAACUACGUGCCAGCAGCCGCGGUAAUACGUAGGUGGCAAGCGUUAUCCGGAUUUAAGGGGUGUAAAGGGCGUGUAGGCGGGAAAGCAAGUCAGAUGUGAAAACCAUGGGCUCAACCUGUGGCUUGCAUUUGAAACUGUUUUUCUUGAGUACUGGAGAGGCAGACGGAAUUCCUAGUGUAGCGGUGAAAUGCGUAGAUAUUAGGAGGAACACCAGUGGCGAAGGCGGUCUGCUGGACAGCAACUGACGCUGAGGCGCGAAAGCGUGGGGAGCAAACAGGAUUAGAUACCCCAGUAGCC